RNAcentral lists this long non-coding RNA (467 nucleotides) under Androctonus crassicauda. The record is from RNAcentral. Lineage: Eukaryota; Metazoa; Arthropoda; Arachnida; Scorpiones; Buthidae.
GUAAACUACAGAAAAAUAUUAAUUUAGAAGCACAUAGGUCUGAAUUUGGUUUAGUGUUGCUUCUUGGUUGCACGUCUUGACUGUGAAGUCACGGGGUCGGCACUUCUUCUGAACUUCUAUUGUUUGGUAUGGCUUUAGACUGCCUUCUUUUGGCAAUUUCUGGGGAUUCCCAGACUAGGCCUUUGUGGGAUUCUCUGUAUGCUUGAUGAGUUUUGUGUUGUUCCAUAGUGCUUCCAUGUUGGAUGUGUAGCACUCCUCUGCUAGUCCCAUGGACAUCUUCCCCUCUUUUGUCUCUUUUGUGUUCAUGGAUUCUUUCAGCCAGCAUGCGUCCCGUGGGGCCGAUGUGUUUCUUUUCUUGGCCUGUGCUUUUGUCUCUUGCCAGGAUGCUGUGCACUCCUGACUUGCAGGGGGGGGUCCCCAAGUGGAGUCUGCUGAUUUUGAUGAGGCUUGAUGGGGUUGUGGGGUGG